CCUUGUGAAGCUGAUAAAAGCCGGCAGCUCUGUUGGGGUUCCUCACUGCAGUGCUGGGGGUAUGUUUGAGGAGGCAGCAGAGCUAUGCAGGAACAAAGAUCUUUCACAGAUAUGGCUGUUCCUCUAACAACCAGCUUGGGUCAUAUGAGGAGACCACCCCCAGACACCCAUGCAAGAAGUCAUUCCAGAAUACUGGCACUGACAGCCCCUAGCAUUACCAUGAGGGAAACCUCCAUCAUAGAUAUCUGGGACAUUUUUUACAACAAGCACAAUGAGAGGAGUUCUCCCGUCAUGAGUGAGAAGACAAGGAGGCCAGCGACUGCCAAACAACAUAUCCGUGAAUACUCCAGGCAAGGCUCCGGGCAGAGUCUUGGUUAGGGUCAGCUUAACUGUACAAUUAUGGUUGGGCUCAUGUUAACAGUCCUCUAAACUUACAACAAAAGGAGUAUAAGCAAUCAAAUUCAAAAUCUACUGACCUGACAUUUCUGCAUUGUAACCUCAUAUCACCCUUAGCUAAAGAGGGGCAUAAUCACACUUUCUUACACAUUGUUUCACAAGUUUCAAUCCACUAGAGUUAUUCUUUAGAGAAGUUUUUCAUAGUUAAUCUACCGGUAUGCCAAUUAUUUGAUAUAUCUUAGAUUUAUGCUGAUCGAUAUGCUAUACACAGACUGCACAGACCUGCAUUUUGAAUGAGUAUACGUGUGUAUGUUUGCACACUCUGCAUAGUGGCAAUGAUGGACAAGCCUAAAGAGAACUUUUUUAAAGUCCCUUGCGAGAAUAUAUAUACAGUAUAAUAUGAUGUAUUACAUUUUCUGCAGUAUGACGGGUCAUGUGAAGAUUAUGGAGGUCCAGGCUCAGGGCCAUUUUGUGAGGCUUGGGAACUGCUCCCAGAUAGAGCAGGACAUCAGCGGGUAUUACCUGCAGCAGAGCAUUAAGGGACAACCUGUCAGCUGCUUCCUCUUCCCACCGAGAACAUACAUUCAACCGGGAGCUUCAAUCACUGUGAGUCACUGGUGCGAACGACCCACAGUUUGUCUUCCCUGCCAGCUGUAAAGAUGUUUUUUCUCAUAUGUUUGGCCAGUCAGAUCUGUGUAGCAAAUGUCUAGCAAAUGUAAAGAGAAACACCCAAGACCCUUUGAAGACCCAGUUAUUUAAGAACAUGGGCAGCAGCAAUGAAACAUCA
Long non-coding RNA from Clupea harengus (Atlantic herring), 1183 nucleotides. RefSeq lists it as uncharacterized. The record is from RefSeq and is a predicted model, not a curated record. NCBI's taxonomy places the organism in Eukaryota, Metazoa, Chordata, Actinopteri, Clupeiformes, Clupeidae. The transcript is spliced from 4 exons.